Brienomyrus brachyistius is the source of this 361-nucleotide long non-coding RNA. RefSeq lists it as uncharacterized. The transcript is spliced from 3 exons. NCBI's taxonomy places the organism in Eukaryota, Metazoa, Chordata, Actinopteri, Osteoglossiformes, Mormyridae. The record is from RefSeq and is a predicted model, not a curated record.
ACAAAGGACGGCUGGUGGCUGUGCGCCCCACUGCUAUAGCAGGCACUGCAGAGCAGGCUGGAUGCGCCGACGUCCACGGAUCUUAAUAUGGAGAGUGAACCCAAAUCCUUUUAACCACGAUGAGUGCUUUGGACAACGCAUUCCGCUCUGUGGCCUUGGUCAUAUUUCCAAACCCCGGUCUGUAGAUGUAUUUCUGAAAACAAAAUCACCAGUCAAUGGACAUAAGUGCCGUAAGAACUUGUGAGCUACUGAAGACGGAACCAGGCUUUUCGAUAGGGCCUGACAUUUUUUAAAGGAUUUCCAGUCAUGACAGGACCUCAGAUCAUACAGCUGUGAAGCACUCUCUCGCACACUGGGCCCU